AGCAGCCGCGGUAAUUUCAGCUCCAAUAGCGUAUAUUAAAGUUGUUGCAGUUAAAAAGCUCGUAGUUGAAUUUCGGGGUCAGUAGAUUGGUCGUGCCACUGGUAUGCACUGGUCUUACUGGCUCCUCCUUCCUGAUGAACCGUAAUGCCAUUAAUUUGGUGUUGCGGGGAGACUGGACUGUUACUUUGAAAAAUUAGAGUGUUUAAAGCAGGCUAACGCUUGAAUACAUUAGCAUGGAAUAAUGAAAUAGGACGUUCGAUCUUAUUUUGUUGGUUUCUAAGAUUGACGUAAUGAUUAAUAGGGAUAGUUGGGGGCAUUAGUAUUCAAUUGUCAGAGGUGAAAUUCUUGGAUUUAUUGAAGACUAACUACUGCGAAAGCAUUUGCCAAGGAUGUUUUCAUUAAUCAAGAACGAAAGUUAG
This 419-nucleotide ribosomal RNA is filed under the name uncultured Glomus. RNAcentral's name for it is "SSU rRNA". It matches the Rfam family "Eukaryotic small subunit ribosomal RNA", at positions 569 to 993 of the family's 1831-position model. Lineage: Eukaryota; Fungi; Glomeromycota; Glomeromycetes; Glomerales; Glomeraceae. The record is from RNAcentral.